GACGAACGCUGGCGGCGUGCCUAAUACAUGCAAGUCGAACGAGAGCGACCGGUGCUUGCACUGGUCAAUCUAGUGGCGAACGGGUGAGUAACACGUGGGUAACCUGCCCAUCAGAGGGGGAUAACAUCCGGAAACGGAUGCUAAAACCGCAUAGGUCUUCGAACCGCAUGGUUUGAAGAGGAAAAGAGGCGCAAGCUUCUGCUGAUGGAUGGACCCGCGGUGCAUUAGCUAGUUGGUGAGGUAACGGCUCACCAAGGCCGUGAUGCAUAGCCGACCUGAGGGGGUGAUAGGCCACAUGGGGACUGAGACACGGCCAAAACUCCUACGGGAGGCAGCAGUAGGGAAUCUUCCGCAAUGGACGCAAGUCUGACGGAGCAACGCCGCGUGAGUGAAGAAGGUUUUCGGAUCGUAAAACUCUGUUGUUAGAGAAGAACAAGUGCUAGAGUAACUGUUAGCGCCUUGACGGUAUCUAACCAGAAAGCCACGGCUAACUACGUG
Molecule: ribosomal RNA, 498 nt
Filed under: uncultured bacterium
Lineage: Bacteria
Description: partial 16S ribosomal RNA
Rfam family: Bacterial small subunit ribosomal RNA
Source: RNAcentral